RNAcentral lists this ribosomal RNA (865 nucleotides) under Triticum aestivum (bread wheat). Its description in RNAcentral is "partial small subunit ribosomal RNA". Lineage: Eukaryota; Viridiplantae; Streptophyta; Magnoliopsida; Poales; Poaceae. The record is from RNAcentral.
GCAGAUUACUAACUCAGAAAGAAAAAUCACAUAGACCGAAUAUUAAAUGUACACUAUAGUUACAAGUACGAAACAAAACAAACAGCAGGUUGCAAGUACUCUUAAAAUCUGAACCUUACAAAGUAUUACAUAUCUCAAUUUUACAAAAAUUAGGUGUUUGGAACAAUACACAAGGUUCACCUACAAGUUUCAGAAAUUUGCAAAAAGUAAAGAGAGAAGAGGAGCGGCACCUGUUUGGGUUCAGAGAAGAAGCGCAGAAUAGGAGGUAAAGAAAAGGAGCAGCAGCGUGAGGGCUUUGAGAGGAGUAGCAGCAGGGGCGUGAGAGGAGCAGCAGAGAGAGUUGAGGAAAAGGAUCAACAGUAGGGGUUCAGAGGAGAAGGCAACAACAAUGGGGGUCAGAGAAGAGAAGCAGCAGCAAGACGUGGGAGAAGGAGCAGCAGGGGCAUCUGGGUGAGAGAAGCAGCAGAGAGGGUUGAGGGCGAACAGCAGCAGGUUGAAGAAGAGAGGUGGAGGAUGGCGUGGGGCACCAGACAACCACGACCUCUAGUCUUGUAGGGCGCGCGAGGUGAUGGUGGCUGGAUGUGAUGGCGCCUGGUGGAUGGAUGGGUUGCGGUAGCGCGGGUGGAGGUGCUGCAGCGUUGUGGAGUGGGUGGAGGUACUGGGUGGCACGCCGCCAUGCUGGCCUGGCCGCGGUGACGGCCAGAGGUGGAGAAGAAGGUUGGGGGAGAGGGAUAUGUAGCCAGGCCCAAAGGGGAUCGAUGGUUGCCGCUAGGGAUUUGAUCCCCUCCUCUGAUCUGCCAGUUUUGCUCUUUUGCCCUUCCACUUCUCUUCUCUCUUCACAAGAUGAUCCCUCCAACUUUAUCUU